UGUGCGAGAGCACGAUGAGGGGAUCCCAAGUGCUGGCACGUAAGUGUCAGCUGUUUCUUAGUCUAAAAAACUGAGAGAGUAAGAGCCGGGUAAGACGGGUGCCAGCCGCCGCGGUAAUACCUGCAGCUCAAGUGGUGGCCGCUAUUAUUGGGCCUAAAACGUCCGUAGCCGGUUUAGUAAAUGCCUGGGUAAAUUGUGUAGCUUAACUAUACGAAUUCCGGGUAGACUGCUAAACUUGGGACCGGGAGAGGCUAGAGGUACUCCUGGGGUAGAGGUGAAAUUCUGUAAUCCUAGGGGGACCACCAGUGGCGAAGGCGUCUAGCUAGAACGGGUCUGACGGUGAGGGACGAAGCCCUGGGGCGCAAACCGGAUUAGAUACCCGGGUAGUCCAGGGUGUAAACGCUGCUUGCUUGAUGUUAGUUGGGCUCCGAGCCCAACUAGUGUCGGAGAGAAGUUGUUAAGCAAGCUGCCUGGGAAGUACGGUCGCAAGACUGAAA
RNAcentral lists this ribosomal RNA (497 nucleotides) under uncultured archaeon. Its description in RNAcentral is "bacterial SSU rRNA". It matches the Rfam family "Archaeal small subunit ribosomal RNA", at positions 356 to 854 of the family's 1478-position model. The record is from RNAcentral.